RNAcentral lists this transfer RNA (87 nucleotides) under bacterium. Its description in RNAcentral is "tRNA-Leu". It matches the Rfam family "tRNA". Rfam says of the family: Transfer RNA (tRNA) molecules are approximately 80 nucleotides in length. Their secondary structure includes four short double-helical elements and three loops (D, anti-codon, and T loops). The record is from RNAcentral.
GCCGAUGUGGCGAAACUGGUAGACGCGCACGCUUCAGGAGCGUGUUCUCGCAAGAGAAUGGAGGUUCGAGUCCUCUCAUCGGCACCA